RNAcentral lists this ribosomal RNA (253 nucleotides) under uncultured bacterium. Its description in RNAcentral is "partial 16S ribosomal RNA". It matches the Rfam family "Bacterial small subunit ribosomal RNA", at positions 524 to 776 of the family's 1533-position model. The record is from RNAcentral.
UACGUAGGUCUCAAGCGUUAUCCGGAUUUACUGGGCGUAAAGCGUGCGUAGGCGGCUGGUUAAGUCUUCGGUGAAAUCUCCGGGCCCAACUCGGAAACUGUCGAAGAUACUGGCUAGCUGGAGUAUGGCAGAGGCAGAUGGAAUUGAUGGUGUAGCGGUAAAAUGCGUAGAUAUCAUCAAGAACACCCAUGGCGAAGGCAGUCUGCUGGGCCACUACUGACGCUGAGGCACGAAAGCGUGGGGAGCGAACGGG